This 253-nucleotide ribosomal RNA is filed under the name uncultured bacterium. RNAcentral describes it as "partial 16S ribosomal RNA". It matches the Rfam family "Bacterial small subunit ribosomal RNA", at positions 524 to 776 of the family's 1533-position model. The record is from RNAcentral.
UACGUAGGGUGCAAGCGUUGUCCGGAAUUAUUGGGCGUAAAGAGCUCGUAGGCGGUCCGUCACGUCGGCUGUGAAAACCCGGGGCUCAACCCCGGGCCUGCAGUCGAUACGGGCGGACUAGAGUUCGGCAGGGGAGACUGGAAUUCCUGGUGUCGCGGUGAAAUGCGCAGAUAUCAGGAGGAACACCGGUGGCGAAGGCGGGUCUCUGGGCCGAUACUGACGCUGAGGAGCGAAAGCGUGGGGAGCGAACAGG